RNAcentral lists this ribosomal RNA (515 nucleotides) under uncultured bacterium. RNAcentral describes it as "partial 16S ribosomal RNA". It matches the Rfam family "Bacterial small subunit ribosomal RNA", at positions 28 to 523 of the family's 1533-position model. The record is from RNAcentral.
GAUGAACGCUGGCGGCGUGCCUAAUACAUGCAAGUCGAGCGAAUGGAUUAAGAGCUUGCUCUUAUGAAGUUAGCGGCGGACGGGUGAGUAACACGUGGGUAACCUGCCCAUAAGACUGGGAUAACUCCGGGAAACCGGGGCUAAUACCGGAUAACAUUUUGAACCGCAUGGUUCGAAAUUGAAAGGCGGCUUCGGCUGUCACUUAUGGAUGGACCCGCGUCGCAUUAGCUAGUUGGUGAGGUAACGGCUCACCAAGGCAACGAUGCGUAGCCGACCUGAGAGGGUGAGCGGCCACACGGGGACUGGGACACGGCCCAGACUCCUACGGGAGGCAGCAGUAGGGAAGCUUCCGCAAUGGACGAAAGUCUGACGGAGCAACGCCGCGUGAGUGAUGAAGGCUUUCGGGUCGUAAAACUCUGUUGUUAGGGAAGAACAAGUGCUAGUUGAAUAAGCUGGCACCUUGACGGUACCUAACCAGAAAGCCACGGCUAACUACGUGCCAGCCGCCGCGGUAA